RNAcentral lists this unclassified non-coding RNA (337 nucleotides) under soil metagenome. RNAcentral describes it as "partial contains 5.8S ribosomal RNA, internal transcribed spacer 2, and large subunit ribosomal RNA". The stretch from base 1 to 120 matches the Rfam family "5.8S ribosomal RNA", at positions 35 to 154 of the family's 154-position model. The record is from RNAcentral.
GAUGAAGAACGCAGCGAAACGCGAUAAGUAGUGUGAAUUGCAGAAUUCAGUGAAUCAUCGAAUCUUUGAACGCACAUUGCGCCCUAUAGUAUUCUGUAGGGCAUGCAUGUUCGAGCGUCAUUUGUACCUUCAAGCUUUGCUUGGUGUUGGGUGUUUGUCCUCUCCCUGGUGUUUGGACUCGCCUUAAAACAAUUGGCAGCCAGUGUUUUGGUAUUGAAGCGCAGCACAAUUUGCGAUUCUGGCCUUAAAAUACUAGCGUCCAUAAGUACAUUCUCACUUUUGACCUCGGAUCAUGUAGGGAUACCCGCUGAACUUAAGCAUAUCAAUAAGCGGAGGA